AGCUUUGCGCAGUGGCAGUAUCGUAACCAAUGAGGUAAAUCCGAGGUGCGAUUAUUGCUAGUUGAAAACUUUAACCAAUACCCCGCCUGGACGUCGUGAAAUAUCGACGGCUAAGGCAAUUUUUGAUAGCCUGAUCUCGGG
Molecule: small nuclear RNA, 141 nt
Filed under: Penaeus chinensis
Lineage: Eukaryota; Metazoa; Arthropoda; Malacostraca; Decapoda; Penaeidae
Description: U4 spliceosomal RNA
Rfam family: U4 spliceosomal RNA
About the family: U4 small nuclear RNA (U4 snRNA) is a component of the major U2-dependent spliceosome. The structure of U4 snRNA from yeast and human has been reported. U4 snRNA presents a k-turn RNA motif in the 5p-SL related to recognition of Snu13 protein.
Source: RNAcentral